UAAGCUAAAUAUUUAAACCAGAGCAAUAAUAACAAUAUUCUAGAGUUAUUUGUUUGUUUCGAUAUUAUUUCAUUAUUAUUAUCAUUAAUAUUAUUGUUUCAAUAUUAUUUGCUAUAUGUAUUUGUUUUAAAGUAAUCAAAUUGAAGUGAAGUUACAUCUUCAAACCAGGGCAAUAAUAGGUAUUCUAAUUAAUAUUUUUUGGAAUUCAUCAAACGUUUCGGAUAUUGUUUCAAUAUUAUUUGCCAUAGAUUUGUUUUAAAAUAAUCAAAUUGAAAUUAUGCCUAAUCUUCAAACCAAGGCAAUAAUUACAUUCUAGAGUAUACGCAGAAUAGAAUAGUUAUAAUAUUAUGCUCACUAAUUUAUUAUAAACAGUAUAGAAGCAUAGAGUAACAAUAGCGUAAGUAGAUAUCCCAUGAUAUAGGGCGUUUAUGUCGCAACUUUUACUGUUAUCUCAGGCCGAUUACUGUCGAUUAUUGUCGAUUUUUACUGUUUUAACCGGGUAAGAGUGUAUGAACGGCACAAUAUGAGAGACUGCCAGCGUCAUAAAGCUUCACAGGGAAGAACUACGUGGACUAUCAGCUUGAGAUAACAGUAAAAGUUGCGACAUAAACGCCCUAUAUCAUGGGAUAUCUACUUAUGCUAUUGUUUCUCUAUGAUAGAAGUAAAUAAUUAUAAAUAUUAGAAGUAGGAUCUGAACUGAAGAAAGUGAGAAAAAGGAUAGUAAAAGAAAGAGGAGGAGAAGAAAUUUGAAGAGGAAUUGAAAGUAGAAGAUGAAGAAGAAGAAGGAUGAGGAAGAAAGAAAGAGGAGGUAGGUUUAGAAGAGAAAUUGAAAGUAGAGAUGAAGAAAGAAACAGGAAGAGGUAGAAUUAGAAGAGGAAUUGAAAGUGGAAGAUGAAGAAGAAGGAGGAAGAAUGAAAGAGGAGGAGAUAGAAUUACAAGCGGAAUUGAAGAUAGAAGAUGAAGAAGGAAGAAAGAAAGAGGUGAAAUAAGAAAAGGAAUUUUGAAAGUAGAAGAUGAAGAAGAAGGAGGAGGAGGAGGUAAAAUUACAAGAGGAAUUGAAGGUAAAAGAUGAAGAGGUAAAAUUAGAAGAGGAAUUGAAAGUGGAAGAUGAAGAAGAAGGAGGAAGAAAGAAAGAGGAGGAGAUAGAAUUACAAGCGGAAUUGAAGAUAGAAGAUGAAGAAGAAGAAGGAAGAAAGAAAGAGGAAGAGGAAAAAUUAGAAGAGGAAUUGAAAGUAAAAGAUGAAGAAGAAGGAGUAUGAAAGAAAGAGGAAGAGGUAGAAUUACAAGAGGAAUUGAAAGUAGAAGAUGAAGAAGAAGGAGGAGGAGGGAAGAAAGAGGAGCAGGGGGUAAAAUUAUAAGAGGAAUUUUGAAAGUAGAAGAUGAAGAAUGAAAAAAGAAAGAGAAGGUAGAAUUACAAGAGGAAUUGAAAGUAGAAGAUGAAGAAGAAGAAGAAGGAGGAGGUAAGAAAGAGGAGCAGGGGGUAAAAUUAGAAGAGGAAUUUUGAAAGUAGAAGAUGAAGAAGGAAAAAAGAAAGAGAAUGUAGAAUUACAAGAGGAAUUGAAAGUAGAAGAUGAAGAAGAAGAAGAAGGAGGAGGUAAGAAAGAGGAGCAGGGGGUAAAAUUAGAAGAGGAAUUUUGAAAGUAGAAGAUGAAGAAGGAAAAAAGAAAGAGAAUGUAGAAUUACAAGAGGAAUUGAAAGUAAAAGAUGAAGAAAAAGGAGGAGGGAAGAAAGAGGAGCAGGGGGUAAAAUUAGAAGAGGAAUUUUGAAAGUAGAAGAUGAAGAAGGAAAAAAGAAAGAGAAGGUAGAAUUACAAGAGGAAUUGAAAGUAGAAGAUGAAGAAGAAGAAAGAGGAAGAAAGAAAUAGGAAGAGGACGUAGAAUUACAAGAGGAAUUGAAAGUAGAAGAUGAAGAAGAAGAAAGAGGAAGAAAGAAAUAGGAGGAGGACGUAGAAUUACAAGAGGAAUUGAAAUUAGAAGAUGUUGAAGAAGAAAUAGAUAGAAAUAAAAACUGGAGUGAUAAAAAAACAGAUGAAAAAUAUUACUAUAAAUCAAUCAAGACUUCUUAAAAUCUUCCAAAUAAUGAUGUUAAGUAUAGUGGGUUUCACUGCAAACAGUCAGCUUUUCUUAUUUAAUAUUUUCAAUGGCGUCCCAUUACUUUAAUACUGACAUGUUGAAGUGGACCUCACUUUGGUUGUUUACUAUAUAGUUGAAAUUUGUUAUUGAAAAUAAAUGAAUGUUUAUUUUUAGGUAUAUUAGACAUAAAUAUUAUGUGAUCUUCAAAGUUUCAAAUUCAUUAAAACUAAAGCUUUGAAUAAAAAA
Molecule: long non-coding RNA, 2318 nt
Organism: Nilaparvata lugens (brown planthopper)
Lineage: Eukaryota; Metazoa; Arthropoda; Insecta; Hemiptera; Delphacidae
Exons: 2
Source: RefSeq, a predicted model, not a curated record